Molecule: ribosomal RNA, 798 nt
Filed under: Flavobacterium sp. B257
Lineage: Bacteria; Pseudomonadati; Bacteroidota; Flavobacteriia; Flavobacteriales; Flavobacteriaceae
Description: bacterial SSU rRNA
Rfam family: Bacterial small subunit ribosomal RNA
Source: RNAcentral
GCAGUCGAGGGGUAUAUGUCUUCGGAUAUAGAGACCGGCGCACGGGUGCGUAACGCGUAUGCAAUCUACCUUUUACAGAGGGAUAGCCCAGAGAAAUUUGGAUUAAUACCUCAUAGUAUAGUGACUCGGCAUCGAGAUACUAUUAAAGUCACAACGGUAAAAGAUGAGCAUGCGUCCCAUUAGCUAGUUGGUAAGGUAACGGCUUACCAAGGCUACGAUGGGUAGGGGUCCUGAGAGGGAGAUCCCCCACACUGGUACUGAGACACGGACCAGACUCCUACGGGAGGCAGCAGUGAGGAAUAUUGGACAAUGGGCGCAAGCCUGAUCCAGCCAUGCCGCGUGCAGGAUGACGGUCCUAUGGAUUGUAAACUGCUUUUGUACGAGAAGAAACACUCCAACGUGUAGGAGCUUGACGGUAUCGUAAGAAUAAGGAUCGGCUAACUCCGUGCCAGCAGCCGCGGUAAUACGGAGGAUCCAAGCGUUAUCCGGAAUCAUUGGGUUUAAAGGGUCCGUAGGCGGUUUAGUAAGUCAGUGGUGAAAGCCCAUCGCUCAACGGUGGAACGGCCAUUGAUACUGCUAAACUUGAAUUAUUAGGAAGUAACUAGAAUAUGUAGUGUAGCGGUGAAAUGCUUAGAGAUUACAUGGAAUACCAAUUGCGAAGGCAGGUUACUACUAAUGGAUUGACGCUGAUGGACGAAAGCGUGGGUAGCGAACAGGAUUAGAUACCCUGGUAGUCCACGCCGUAAACGAUGGAUACUAGCUGUUGGAAGCAAUUUCAGUGGCUAAGCGAAAGUGAUA